GGGCAUUCAGAAGGCUUGCAAUCUGGGCUACUCGCUGAGGACACCGUUCCUCCACCAUCGCCCAGGGGAAAGUCCCCGGACGCAGGGCAGAAAGUGCUCCAGUGUAAUCGCUCCCAUCGGCCUUGCGCUCCACCGUUGAUGGCUAAGAUGUGAAAUGCGAUAUACUGAGCUUGGUGGAUCGCAAGUCGAACUUGUCCAUGUGAUAGAAAUGCAAGUAGGCAACUACUGUACGCAUAAACAGAACGGGGCUCAUUCUCGGAAUGCU
Molecule: RNase MRP RNA, 265 nt
Filed under: Gadus morhua (Atlantic cod)
Lineage: Eukaryota; Metazoa; Chordata; Actinopteri; Gadiformes; Gadidae
Description: RNase MRP (ENSGMOG00000022103.2)
Rfam family: RNase MRP
About the family: RNase MRP is an enzymatically active ribonucleoprotein with two distinct roles in eukaryotes. In mitochondria it plays a direct role in the initiation of mitochondrial DNA replication. In the nucleus it is involved in precursor rRNA processing, where it cleaves the internal transcribed spacer 1 between 18S and 5.8S rRNAs.
Source: Rfam by way of RNAcentral